GUGGGGAAUUUUGGACAAUGGGCGCAAGCCUGAUCCAGCAAUGCCGCGUGCAGGAAGAAGGCCUUCGGGUUGUAAAGCACUUUUGUCCGGAAAGAAAUCUCCUGGGUUAAUACCUCGGGGGGAUGACGGUACCGGAAGAAUAAGCACCGGCUAACUACGUGCCAGCAGCCGCGGUAAUACGUAGGGUGCGAGCGUUAAUCGGAAUUACUGGGCGUAAAGCGUGCGCAGGCGGCUAUGCAAGACAGAUGUGAAAUCCCCGGGCUCAACCUGGGAACUGCAUUUGUGACUGCAUGGCUAGAGUGCGUCAGAGGGAGGUGGAAUUCCGCGUGUAGCAGUGAAAUGCGUAGAGAUGCGGAGGAACACCGAUGGCGAAGGCAGCCUCCUGGGAUGACACUGACGCUCAUGCACGAAAGCGUGGGGAGCAAACAGGAUUAGAAACCCUGGUAGUCC
Molecule: ribosomal RNA, 450 nt
Filed under: uncultured bacterium
Lineage: Bacteria
Description: partial 16S ribosomal RNA
Rfam family: Bacterial small subunit ribosomal RNA
Source: RNAcentral